AUUGUGUUUUUUUCUAUUUUCUCCUCUUAACACUUUUUCCACAAACAUGCACUCAUUAAUCAAAGAUGGUGCACUCCUGCUGAGGGCAGAGAGGUUCAUCAAAUUGGCAGUCAGUUUGGUGUAAAGAACGGUGUACUGAAGCUCUUAACUCGCUGGGACAUAAAUAAAUCUAUGGUCUUUGUAUGCAAACCCUGGAGGUUAAUACUGUAUAAUUCAGCAUCCUGUCUUUGUUUUUAUGAUUGAUGUUUUUAAAUGUUUGAAGCUUAGUGCAAGUCUUCUAAUAGAUCAGGUCUGACAAUCUGAUUGGCUGUAGUAAGAAAGCCUUAGGUUGUCAGAAAGACUUUGAGUAUGCUGCAGAGAUUUUGAUUUUUUUUUUCCUACAAGAUCAUUGUCAUAUUGCUUGAGCUGUUAUAGGAAUGUACCAGUGAUUGACAUUCCCUGCUGUGAUAAUGGACCUAGUGCAUGAAAUGCCAAUAGUUUGGUCCUAUUUGUUCGGAAGCUUACUGCUAUUUGUAUCCUUAACAGAGCUAACAUGUAGAACAAGCAAAACUACUG
This 555-nucleotide long non-coding RNA is filed under the name Marmota monax (woodchuck). The record is from RNAcentral. Lineage: Eukaryota; Metazoa; Chordata; Mammalia; Rodentia; Sciuridae.